This 320-nucleotide ribosomal RNA is filed under the name uncultured Bacteroidales bacterium. RNAcentral describes it as "bacterial SSU rRNA". It matches the Rfam family "Bacterial small subunit ribosomal RNA", at positions 28 to 339 of the family's 1533-position model. Lineage: Bacteria; Pseudomonadati; Bacteroidota; Bacteroidia; Bacteroidales. The record is from RNAcentral.
GAUGAACGCUAGCUACAGGCUUAACACAUGCAAGUCGAGGGGCAGCAUGACAGGUGCUUGCACUUGUUGAUGGCGACCGGCGCACGGGUGCGUAACACGUAUCCAAUCUACCCAUGGCUCAGGGAUAGCCUUGCGAAAGUAAGAUUAAUACCUGAUGGUUUCAUUCUCCGGCAUCGGGGUAUGAAUAAAGAUUUAUCGGCGAUGGAUGAGGAUGCGUCCGAUUAGCUUGACGGCGGGGUAACGGCCCACCGUGGCUACGAUCGGUAGGGGUUCUGAGAGGAAGGUCCCCCACACUGGAACUGAGACACGGUCCAGACUCC